This is an RNA transcript of Ananas comosus (pineapple), 1832 nucleotides long. RefSeq lists it as uncharacterized. NCBI's taxonomy places the organism in Eukaryota, Viridiplantae, Streptophyta, Magnoliopsida, Poales, Bromeliaceae. The transcript is spliced from 4 exons. The record is from RefSeq and is a predicted model, not a curated record.
UUGUCUUAUUCCAAGGUUCCAGAGCCGUUCGUCGCUCUUCUUCGUUUCUCAAAUAAAACCCCUCUGGCGCGAUUCGAUCGAAGAAAUAAUCGAGAUCUCAGUCGGAAAAGAUCUUCUUUGAGCCCUCAGCAUUGUGGAUUAUAUGCUGCCGAACAGCUGAAUCGAUGCGCGCGUAAUUGUCCAAUUUCGGCUUGAGAGAAAAAAGCAACCAGAUUUCAUUUUCAUCCUCGUGUUAAAAGAAAGAUGGCUGAAGUAAUUAGUAACCCUGAUGCUGGAAUGAAACGGCGUCUGCCUGCGUGGAUGCUUCAAGCGAAAUCAGAGAAUGGAGGGAGAAAUACGGAAAAUGGGAAUAAAACAGGUCGCAAAUCAGAAACUUUACAUGACAAUCAGGAUGAGGUAAAACCCGCCAUCAGAAAGCACAAAAGAAGGAUGCCAGAAACAGCAGGCCCUGGCAAAUCGGAAAUCUUGCAAAAAUGCCGAACGAAACAGAGAAAUAAUGAUUCGCGGGCCAAAGAUGAAGGUCGGAGUAAAGUUGUCUCCUGUAAUACAAAAAAUGAUGGAGAUUCAAGGAUGGUUAAUGGAAGGGAUGCUAAAAAGAAGCGUAAAUUGAAGAGAAUGAUGAGGGAGAUGGAAAUGGAAACCUCAUCACCUGAAAAGAGUGAUGAUGAAGUCGACCUCUCUGUUGAAGAUCUAAUGAGCAUUGCCGAAGAGUAUGUAAAUGCUGAUAAAGAAAAGCAAUGUAAAUCAUCAACUGCCAAGGAGCCCAAUUCAGAAACACGCUCAUCAAGUUUGUCGGUUUCCUCUAAUACUAACCUAGAAAGACUUGCACAAGAUGCUGCAUUAUCAAAGGCACUAUCCAAAUGCUCAGUGAUCAAAUCAAGUUUGUAUUUCACUGGUUCUCAAACGAGUGAGGUAAAGAACCCUGUAGAUGAACUAUGCUCCACAAAUAUUAGAGCAAUGGGAGAUCCUGCUCGAGAUAUGCUGGAUUUGUUUCUGGGUCCUCUUCUGAGGGAAUCUUCGGUUAAAGAGCAGAAAACUGAGGCAGUUGAAACCCUAAGCGGGCUUACGACCUAUGGAAUCAAUAAACAAGAUACAUCCCGUGAAGUGCGGAGAGGAGAGGAACCCGUAAUGAAAAAGAAGAGCAGCUUGAAGGAUAAGGUGGCCCUGUUUCUUGACUAAGCUCAGGACAAGUGCCAUGCUUUACAGCCAAUGAAUAAACUGAACUGGCAUGUAAGCUGUGAAUAUCCUUGCUAUGUUAAAGCUGUUACUGGAUCUAUGCUUUGCACAUGUAGGGUUCUGCUGUGGGAAGCUGAUCUGGAAACGUGUCGAUGAAUCUAUGAGGGAUUGAGAAUAUAUUACCUGGAAGAGAUCUCCUAUGUUGACAACAAGCACGUCAGGAUUUGGCGCGACAGCGACCCAUUCGGAAUCCUUCAUCAGGUGCAAUCCGCCGAUGUGAUCCUGAUGCAAGACGGUGAGGAAGUCGCUGUCGGUGUGCGGCAUCAGGCCGAAGGUUUCCGGCGCGAAGGGGCACGGAGGGUACCUGUUGAGGCGGAGGAAGCAUGUUUUAUCGUCGCAGUUCACGGGGAAGCCGUUGCCGGUGUAGCCUAGGUUCUCGGCUAGUACGCCGGCUAGCGUGCGGGCGAGCGCCGACAUCGCGGCAGCCAACUUAUCCACUGCUACCCUGGAAGAAACAAUGGAUAAGUAUCAGCUUGUCGUGUAACUGGUGUUGGAGUUUAAGGCCUUAGGUUUGUGACCAGGCUAUUAAGUUAUCAGAAGUGUUGUUUGAAUAAAAUUAUUUUUAAAAAAAUUAAAAAUAAAUUGUUUUUUUUUUA